UGUGUGUGUGUGUGAGUGCUGGAUGAUGUGUGUGUGUGUGAGUGCUGGAUGAUGUGUGUGUGAGUGAGUGCUGGAUGAUGUGUGUGUGAGUGAGUGAUGGAUGAUGUGUGUUUGAGUGAGUGAUGGAUGAUGGGUGUGUGAGUGCUGGAUGAUGUGUGUGUGUGCUGGAUGAUGGGUGUGUGAGUGCUGGAUGAUGGGUGUGUGAGUGCUGAAUGAUGUGUGUGUGAGUGCUGGAUGAUGGGUGUGUGUGUGUGAGUGCUGGAUGAUGGGUGUGUGAGUACUGGAUGAUGGGUGUGUGAGUACUGGAUGAUGUGUGUGUGUGUGUGCUGGAUGAUGGGUGUGUGUGUG
Non-coding RNA from Pelobates cultripes (western spadefoot toad), 348 nucleotides. The record is from the annotation of a GenBank genome assembly. Lineage: Eukaryota; Metazoa; Chordata; Amphibia; Anura; Pelobatidae.